UUGGCAAUUAGCUCAACUGGUUAGAGCGUAGGUCUCAUAAGCCUAAGGUUGCAGGUUCAAGUCCAGUAUUGCCAAU
RNAcentral lists this transfer RNA (76 nucleotides) under Limnomonas spitsbergensis. RNAcentral describes it as "tRNA-Met". It matches the Rfam family "tRNA". From Rfam's summary of the family: Transfer RNA (tRNA) molecules are approximately 80 nucleotides in length. Their secondary structure includes four short double-helical elements and three loops (D, anti-codon, and T loops). The record is from RNAcentral. Lineage: Eukaryota; Viridiplantae; Chlorophyta; Chlorophyceae; Chlamydomonadales.